Molecule: ribosomal RNA, 468 nt
Filed under: uncultured bacterium
Lineage: Bacteria
Description: partial 16S ribosomal RNA
Rfam family: Bacterial small subunit ribosomal RNA
Source: RNAcentral
GACGAACGCUGGCGGCGUGCUUAACACAUGCAAGUCGAACGGAAAGGCCCUGCUUUUGUGGUGUGCUCGAGUGGCGAACGGGUGAGUAACACGUGAGUAACCUGCCCUUGACUUUGGGAUAACUUCAGGAAACUGGGGCUAAUACCGGAUAGGAGCUCCGGCUGCAUGGUGGGGGUUGGAAAGUUUCGGCGGUUGGGGAUGGACUCGCGGCUUAUCAGCUUGUUGGUGGGGUAGUGGCUUACCAAGGCUUUGACGGGUAGCCGGCCUGAGGGGGUGACCGGCCACAUGGGGACUGAGAGACGGCCCAGACUCCUACGGGAGGCAGCAGUGGGGAAUAUUGCACAAUGGGCGGAAGCCUGAUGCAGCAACGCCGCGUGCGGGAUGACGGCCUUCGGGUUGUAACCCGCUUUCGCCUGUGACGAAGCGUGAGUGACGGUAAUGGGUAAAGAAGCACCGGCUAACUACGUG